This 552-nucleotide unclassified non-coding RNA is filed under the name Aspergillus sp. Its description in RNAcentral is "sequence contains ITS1, 5.8S rRNA gene, ITS2". The stretch from base 183 to 336 matches the Rfam family "5.8S ribosomal RNA". Lineage: Eukaryota; Fungi; Ascomycota; Eurotiomycetes; Eurotiales; Aspergillaceae. The record is from RNAcentral.
CCCUCGGGGCCCAACCUCCCACCCGUGUAUACCGUACCUUGUUGCUUCGGCGGGCCCGCCGCGCAAGCGGCCGCCGGGGGGGCGUCAAACCCCCCUCCCUAGGCGAGCGCCCGCCGGAGACACCAACGUGAACACUGUCUGAAGUUUUGUUGUCUGAGUUCGAUUGUAUCGCAAUCAGUUAAAACUUUCAACAAUGGAUCUCUUGGUUCCGGCAUCGAUGAAGAACGCAGCGAAAUGCGAUAAUUAAUGUGAAUUGCAGAAUUCAGUGAAUCAUCGAGUCUUUGAACGCACAUUGCACCCCCUGGUAUUCCGGGGGGUAUGCCUGUCCGAGCGUCAUUGCUGCCCUCAAGCACGGCUUGUGUGUUGGGUCGUCGUCCCCCCUCCCGGGGGGGACGGGCCCGAAAGGCAGCGGCGGCACCGCGUCCGGUCCUCGAGCGUAUGGGGCUUUGUCACCCGCUCUUGUAGGCCCGGCCGGCGCUGGCCGACGCUGAAAAGCAACCAACUAUUUCUCCAGGUUGACCUCGGAUCAGGUAGGGAUACCCGCUGAACUUA